Monodelphis domestica (gray short-tailed opossum) is the source of this 8621-nucleotide non-coding RNA. NCBI's taxonomy places the organism in Eukaryota, Metazoa, Chordata, Mammalia, Didelphimorphia, Didelphidae. The record is from RefSeq and is a predicted model, not a curated record.
CCUUUUGCUUUCUUCUGUGUAUUUUUAAUGGGUCCUUGAUGCUCUUUUGUUUUAUUUUUUUUUAUCAUUAUCACUGCCCCCAAUAAUUAAAGUCUUUGACUAAAUCCCUGAACCCUUUGAAUUCUUCAGUCUCCCAAAUCCUCACCCUUCCCAACUCCCUUGACCUCUGCCUCUAAUCUACUUCAAGCAUUCACAGGAGUAGUAAUAGUAAUAGUAGUAAUCACCACCUGCCUCCAUUUCCUCUAUCACCACAGUUCUACUAGGCUGAUCAAUUGAAUUUGGCUUAGAUUCUGAAAUUGUUCAUUAUGCAUCUGCCCACACUCCUUCAUGGUCUCACACCAAAGAAGGUAAAUGUGACAGGAUCAUGAAGUUGGAGCUUCCGUAAAUGGAUAUUUGCCUACUCAAAAACAAGAGACAAGAAGGGAGAAAAUGGAAAAAGAAGGUCUAUCUUUUUCAAUGAAUCUUGAAUGUACCAAAGAAAGAUUCAACUUUAAUAUCCAAUUAAAUGUAUGUGGAGUAAUCAUGAAAUUCAUAAAAGAAAUUAUUAAAUGUAUUAAAGUGCUGCUUUCACUUAUUAUAUGAAGGAAAAAAAAGACAUCCGUUCCACAGCAAAGGCUUUAAGACCUUGGAAAAUGUAUGGAAUAUUAGUGGUUUCUCUUCGAUGUGGCACUAUAAACUAACGCAUAUAUCUAAAUUUCACCCUUGAAUUCUGUCUCUGUUCAUGUGAGCUUUUCCUAACUUUUGUCAUUUCAAAGGGAUUUCUCCCAUUUCUGAACUCCUUUACUAGUCAGACCCUUCAGGACUCAUCUGACAGUGCAGAUAAUCUUUUCAAAUGUGCCUCACUAGUUCAGGUCGAUUAUAAACUCAGAGGAUGCCAGUGUCCUGCCUAAACCCCUAGAUACUUGUCUGGCCCCGCCCCACUCCACUCCACCCUCGGGGUUUAUUGAAUCUGAAAGGACUUCUCCGAGCUCUUGGCCAGAAUGACCUUCGGCGUGCUUACACUUGAAUCCCUGGACAGCCCUGCUAUGGGCCUGUAUUGGAGGGGGCAGCUAAAAGAGACUUGGAGGGGAGUCCGGACCGUCGGACUCUACGGGAGGCCAAACGAGUGCACAGCCACAGCGCGACCUAAAGGAAGAAGAGGCCCAAAUUGGUCCAAACCGAGGACCUUGCCCAUGUCCUAGGGCGGACCAGGACCUCGCGCGCCUGCCCAGGGCUCUUUCCCUCCCACGCCUACUCCUUCUCACACCCCUCCCCCUUCGCUAGCGGUUCAACCGCCCGCCGAGCCCCGCCCUCUCCAGGUUGCUUCCACCCUUCCCCCUCCCGCUCUCGUUCCAAGCAGGCGCAUUAGAACGCAAGGCUCCGAAUCCGGCCAAGAGGGGCUGCGGCUGGAAAGACUGUGGAGCACCAGAGUGCGGGCUUCCGGGGGCGUCUCCCGGUGCUGUGGCUUCCUCAGGUUGGGAAAAGCCCCUCGCUGAAGAUGGUUUUUAAACACCAGUUUCCCCAACAAAUUUUCUUGAAUCUUGCGUUUUUCUUCUUUGAUGUUUUUUAAUCCUGGAUUCACUGAAUACAGGACUAAAUUCAUACUAAGAUAUGAAUGACUAAUGGACCCUCUUAGCCUUCCCAGGAUAAUCUGUAUGUUUUUUAAAGGAUACAGUAAUCUAAAUGAAUCCCAUAAUCUCCAAAAUUGAUGACAAUGACAUUAUUGAGGAAUUUUAGGAGUAAAGGAGGUAUUUAGGAGCUUGUGAGACCAUGCUGGAUCCUGCUUGGGAAGCAGGGAAGCCAGUAGACUUGCCUAGGUCUUCUUAGGCUAUAAGGAAUCAAGAAUUUUUCAGAGGAGUCUCGGUUUUUCUGUCCCCAUCCAAUCUCAGAAAACCCAAUUCUCAGUUUUUCUAGCAUCCAUGUACUCUGCUUCCCUCCAGGUGGAUAAAGCUUGUCCAUCAGUGAUUCUAAUUUCAAUCUAUUAGUUUAUCUGCAACUCUGGAGAUACAGACAAAAAGAGCUGUUGGGGUCUUUCUGGGACUUAAAGGAGCUUUAAAAAAAAGAAUUCAAUAAGUCAGUGUUGAAAGGAAUAGAUUCUUUUAUAUCAUGUCUAAAGGAAGGCCUUGUGACUUAACUGGAGACAUCCAAAGUAUGGAUCACCUAGGGGCUGCAGGGAUAACAAAGGAAGAUUAUAACAGCAUCCAUUCCCAAAACUGGGCCAGAAGAUGACAUUUCCAAAAUUAGGGCAGUACACUGACCUCUCUCCCUGAAUUCCUAUAGCCAUUCCUGGGGCUCAGACUCACACCUCCAUGCAGGAAAGGGGGGUGAGGGAUAGGGGCAACUGAGGAUGUUCCCGGACAACCUUGGAUAUGAUAAUCAUCCAGAUAUAGAAAGAGGUGUGAGUCCUCCAUUGUUUUACAAGAGGCAGCUUCCAGCUUUUAAACCAUCUUUACACCAAGCUCUUACCAGUUCCAUGGGUGGAAUUCCUAGAUCCAUCUUCAAUCUGUGCCUCAGUGCAUCUCAGUCAAGCUGAACAGGGCCAGGUAUUUUUGACAGGGAGGAUCCCACUUAGGCAGUCUGAUUUGGUUUCCCCCUUCCAGUUAACCAGGAGGUGAUAAUUGUCUGAGGAGCUGGAAGUUUCCAGUUUAUAAAACUUUGGACAUGAAAGACUCAAAAUACUCAGGAAAGUUUAAGAGGAAUUUCCUGGACCAAAAAUCAAAGAGACUUUUGGUAGACUAGAAUAUGGGCACAUAAAUAUGUAUCUAUUUCCCAGAAUUCCCCAGGGUUUUGAAGCUUUUGAGAGAAAUUUCUUCCAAGAAGCCACAUAACAGAUUUAGAAAGAGUAAAUAGCAAUGUACAUGCUUCAAUUGAGUCAGCAAAAAGCUGGGGAUGGAGCACUGUCCCCUUCAAUGAAAAGCAGGAGCUGAGACCUCCUUACUGACCUGGCCCAAGCAGACUGGGGCCAGCCAGACUGGGGAGGAGAACACAUUGAACCCAAUCUGCAGCCUACAGUUAGAACAGUGAACAAAAGUCCAGUCCACAGAUCAUCUGUCCUUCUCUCUUCCCUGGAGCUCAAUGUGAGAGAAGCUCUCCUCUUUUAUUUCCACUGUCCCUUUACUUCCUGUAUUUCCCUCAGAAGAGUAGGAAGAAGAACUAAAUUCAGGAGGAAAGGAAAAACUGAACUCUAAUUGCAAAUUAUAUCAGCCUACUAUACUUUGUUAUAUUGUCUCUCUUUAUCUUCUGUUAUUUGGUACUGCUAAGAAAGUGCAUGGCCAUUAACUUUGGUUUGUCUGAUCCUGUGAGUCUGGGAUUUGAGAAUGAGAGUGGGUAUCAGCCCAUAGGAAAAUGAAAAAACUAGGGGCUGAGUCAGAGAGAGGUUUGCAUUUAGGAGUAAUUUUUUACAUAUUCCAGAACAUAUCUGUUAGACUGUCUGAAUCUAGAGAGAGCAUUCAUACUUAGAUAAGCUUGUAAAUAGUGUAGAGUGAUGUGGUUGUUUUUGAUUGUUCUUUAAGAUAUGACCUUUACAGCCCAGAAUCAGUAGUUGUAGUCAGAGAUCAUCCCUGCAUUUCACCAGAAAAGGGGCAGGAUGACAUUUUAGGCAGGAAGAGAAAGAUAUGUCCAAAUCAGACACAACCUUUCACCAAAAAGACUAGUCCCCAAAAUAAGAAUCUAUAAUUUUUCUGAACUAUAAUAAAGGUAUAGCAUUUGAUCUGCAAAUGGCAUAUCACCCCUUCCUCCAUUCUUAGUCACUGAAAAAGCUUGAGUUUUCAUAUCCACUGAUUAGAUAAUAGCAAUUCUCUCACUUCCACCCCAAAAUAGUGUCAAUUCAAACUCAAUGCUAGACCUGUAGCCCCCCUCCUUAGAGGUUAGGUGUGGCCAUUUUUCUAGGACUGGUCAACAACUAUUUUUAAAUUUCACUUUAAUUUUAUUUUAAUUUCCAAAUUCUGCCCCUGAAAAAGUGCGAAAAACAAAGCCCAUUACAAACAUGUAUAGUCACGCAAAACAUUCCUACAUUAACUAUGUCUAAAAAAGAAAAGAAAGUAUGCUUUGAAAUAUUCUCCGAGUUCAUCUCUUCUCUAUCAGGAAAUGGAUAGCAUGUUUCCUCAAGAGUCCUUUGUAAAUGUAGUUGGUCAUUAUUCAAAAAGCUACUGUUAAGUACCAACCCAUGAGUACUAGGCAUUAUGUUAAACAAUAGAAAGACAUGAAGAGCCUCCAACAUCAAGGAAUUCAGAGUGUAAUGAGAGAAACAACAUACAAGAACCAUGUACAGACAAGAUAUAUGCACAACAAAUUGAUGAUAAUCAGGAAGGGAAGGUACUAACAUUAAGGUGGAAUGGGAAAGUGUUCUUGCAGAAAGCAGGAUUUUAGCUGACUUAAAGGAAACCAGAGAAUCUGCUAGGUGGAGGUAAGGAGGGAGAGAGUAAAAAUAUCUGGAGGCAGGAGAUGGAGGAAUAAAGUAGAAAAUAGGAAUGACCCAGGUUACAAAGGGCUCUCAAUACCAAAUAGGGGGGUUUAUAUUUGAUUUUUUUUUUUUUUAGAACAAAAGGGAACCACUGGAGUUUUAUUGAACAGGAGAAUGACAAGUCAGACCUAGAAUUUAGAAAGAUCAUUUUGAUAGCAGAAUGGAAGAUAGACUAGAGUGAAGAGAGAUUUUUAGACCAGGGGCCCACCAGAAGGCUAUUUAGACAUUCCAGGUGUGAAUUGAUGGUGACCUGUACCAGGAUGAGGGCAGUAUCAUAGUAGGGAAAGGGGCAUAAGGGAGAGAUGUUGCAAAGGGAGAAUUAUUAGGACAUAUCAACUGAUCAUAGAACAAAGGAUAAAAGAGUAAUGAGUAGAGGCUAACAACUAGAUUGAGAUUCUGGGUAACUGGGAGAAUGAAAGUGCCCUGCACAGGAAAAGGGAGGUUAGGAAGAGGGGAGAAUUUGAGGCAAAAGGUAAUGAGUUUAAUUUUAAACAGGCUAAAUUUAAGAUGUCUUUAAGACAUCUAGUUCAAAAUGUCCUAUAAGCAACUCAAAAUAUAAAAUUUGGGGGGAGGGGCAGCUGGAUGGUUCAGUGGAUUGAGAACCAGGCCCAGAGACUGGAGGUCCUGGGUUCAAAUAUUGUCUCAGACACUUCACAGCUGUGUGACCCUGGGAAAAUCACUUAACCCCCAUUGCCUAGCCCUUACCACUCUUCUGCCUUAGUACCAAUACCCAGUAUUGAUUCUAAGAUGGAAGGUAAAGGUUUAAUAUAUAUAUAAAAUUUGGGGUCAGCAGAGGGUUAGGACUGGAUAGGUUAAUCUAGAUUCAUUAGCAUAGAGAUGAUAAUUAAAUCCAUGAGAACUAAUGAAAUAAAAAAGUGAAAAGGUAUCAAAGAAGAAAAAGAGCUUAGGACAGAGCCCAGUGAAACUCUCAAGAUUAGCAAGGGUGACUUGAAUAAUAUCCAUCAAGGGUCAAAAGAGACUGAGAAGGAGCUAUUAGACAGGUAAUAAAAGCAGUUACUAGAAUCUAGAGAGGAAAAAAUAAAGAGAAGAGGGUAAUAAUUGACAGUUGGCUGUGGAAAAGUCAAGAAAGUUGAUGAUUAAGAAAAAGCCUUUAGUUUUGACAAUUCAAAGAUCUUGGUAGCUCUAGAGAGAAUAGUGUCAAAUGAAUGAUGAUCAGGUUAGAGAGACUGUAGAAAGUAAAGAGUGAGAGAAAGGGAAGUAGAGGUAUUCUUUGUGGAUAGUCUCAAGGAAAUUAGCCAUUAAAGGGAGAGAAAGGAGAUAAUAACUAGGAAAAAUACUGAGAUAAAAUGAGGGUUUUUUGACAAUAAGGAGACAUGGGGCAUGUUUAUAGGCAGUGGGGAAGUAGCCAAUAAAUAGGGAAAGAUUGAAGUUAAGUGAAAAACUGAGGAUGAUAGAAGAGGCAAUCUACCAGAGAAGAAGGGAUUGAACAAAAUAAUUUGCACAUGUAAAGGUGUUUGCCUUGACAAGUAAAAGGACACUUCUUAAUGUGAGAUGGGUGAAAGAUGAAAUAUUGGGAGAAGGCAUCUUCUCUCCAUUAGGAAGAGAAUAAAAGAAGAGAUUCUCAGAAAAUGGUAGAAAUCUUUAGAAAGAUUUGUGCCCAUACAAAUUAUCUAGCAUGCUAUAAAGCCUGUUUGUUUUUAUCCCCAAACCAUCAGAUAUGGUAUCCCCAUUACCUUCAAUUUAUAAUUUCCUAGAUGACUAUCAAUUCAGGCCCAGAUGGCCCUGUAGUACCUGAUACUUUACAUAAGGUCUUCCACAUCCCCCUUGUUGAAUAACUGAAUCAAUCUGAAAAUGUUCAAUUUCAUACUUUUAUUCUCCUCAACAAAUUACUGAGCUUCAGGGGUUAGGGGCAGCUAUGUGGUUUAGUGGAUUGAAAGCUAGACCUCAAGACAGGAGGUCUUGGAUUCAAAUGUGACUUCAGACCCUUCCUAGCUUGCUCUGUUAUCCAGGGCAAAUAAUGUAACCUCCAUUGCUCAGCUCUGACUGCUCCUCUGCCUUGGAACUACUAACAAUAUUGAUUCUAAGAUGGAAGGUAAGAAUUUAAAAAAUGUUUGCUGUGCUUGAAGAUUCCAAAGUAUUGUUCUGGAAGCAAAGGUAACAAAUAAUAUCUUGCCCCUUACAAUUACCAAACUGUAACUCUUGAAAAGGAAAGUGAAUCUCUAACACAUUUUAGAGAUAGGACUUUUCCUAUACAAAAAAAAGUAGGGUGGUCAUCUUCAGAAUUGUCAUACUAUCACAUCAUUCCUAUCUGGAUACAGAUUUGAAAACUAUAAACAUCUCAUUCCCAUCUCCAUCUAGUCAUUUUUUAAAAAUCCUCUUAAAAAUUUCUUUGGAUAUGCUAAGUAUUGAGCACAGGUCUCUUUUCCAGUCUUUUAAUACAGACACUUGGUUAUCACAUAAUCAUUCAUUUGGAAAGGCAUUCAUUGGCCAGCGAUAAAAGAACUGAAACAGGCAGGGGAAAUAAGAAAACUUUGUUCCUGAUCCUCCAUGGUACUUUGGACAAUGAAAUCCAUGUGAAGAUAAUGUCUCCCAUCUCUUUAAAGAGAUCAAAACUUCUCCCUGAAUCUUUCUAUGUGGCAGCACAGAGAAGGUGGAAGCCUGUUUUUUGGUUUGGUUUGUUUUUUUUGCAUUAAUCACACAGGUAUGCAUACAUAGAAUUGAAGAGGAGAGGACACAAUCAGUACACAAACAAUGUGAGUUUUAACAAGCAACACAGAGAGCCUCCUAUCUCUUCCCUACUUUUUCUUAGGGUGGAGUAUCAUUGAAUAUUUUAAAAAUAUACUUGCGAAUAAAUCUAAGAACUAGAAGUAGAAAACAGUUUGAUGAAGAUCAACAGAAGCAGAAACAGGAUUGAUUCUGCCAUUGGAAGAUAGUCUACCUAAACGGAAAGAGGAAAUAGAUAAGGAAUCUGAAAAACAGAUCACAAACGUUGCACAUAAUGAUAUGUUAGUUCUAGGGGACUUCUGGUAUCUGGGUAUCUGGUGGAACAGCUCUCUUCCCAAAGCAGAGUAGUGAAUUUCUUUUACUUUGAUUAUUUGAUUCUUCAAAUGGUGGGAGAAUGGAUGAGUGGAACUUAUAUUCUCAUCUGACACUAAUCAAAAGGAAGAAUUGGCUACUGGAGUGGAAAUGCUAGGAAUAUUGGGGAGAAAUGACCACUAUAUCUUGUAGUUUGUGAUAGAAGGGAGGAAAACAAGGCAUAAUCUUAUAUGCAUAAGAUCCAAACUAAGAUGCUAGCUGAGUAGAAAAAAAAGGGUCAGAUACUGAGAUAGAAAUGAUGCGAUUUGGUAAGUGAUUGGGUAUGCAGGAAGAAGGAGAAUGAGUUGUCAGAGAUAAUGCCAAGGUUAUGAUCGCGGGUCACCUUCAUGAUAUGUAUGACUAGGCAUUUGAAGGGGUCCUUUAUAGAGGUCUCAUCUUGGCAACAGUUGGCCAUAAACAAGGCAUCAACCCAUCAAUUAGGGCAUGAAGUGUUUUGUGAUCCAUAGAAAUGAAGGAAGUUUCAAAAUCACAGGCCUUUUGAAGUAGAUGUAGACCAGUUAAUGCAAAAAAGAGGUACAAUUAUUCUCCAGCAGAAAUUUGUGGGUUAUGAGAGAUUUGAGAACUGUUUCUGAACACGGUCCUUGCUCCUGGAAUGGGCUCUGGGGCACAUUGCCCUGGCACCUUGGGCCAGCCUUUGUUUCACAGAGCUUCUCCUCUCUCCUCUCACUCUUGCAGGUUGGGAGGUGGAGAAGGAUAAAGGCUGUUUGAGCAGUUUCACUUUUGAUACAUUUGAUGUUGCCCUUAUACAUUAUAUAGAACCCUGAGAUAAAUGCCUAAGGAGAGGUGCUUUUUAUAAAGAUAAAUACAGCAGUCCUCGGUAUCUGCGGUCUGAAGAAAGACGUUCAAUAUUGGGUAUUAUAGUUUAUUUUAGUAUUUAUUAUAUAUAAGUAUUUAUUUUACCCCUUAGGAACAUGUGAUCCAAGCUUUUGCUUUUGAAGUUAAUUAAAAUGUUGAAUGUUGGUGUUUCCAUGAAUUUCGGAUAACUUGAUUUAGAUGUUUCUUCCUAGUAUGUGAUUUUUCUUCUAGCUGCAUUAUACCAGAUGAACUCUUUAAAUGACAUGCCUUUUUAAAACUGCAAAGAAAAAAAAGAGACCGAGCCUGUCUGACACUUAAUCUCUACCCU